Molecule: ribosomal RNA, 253 nt
Filed under: uncultured bacterium
Lineage: Bacteria
Description: partial 16S ribosomal RNA
Rfam family: Bacterial small subunit ribosomal RNA
Source: RNAcentral
UACGUAGGUGGCAAGCGUUGUCCGGAAUUAUUGGGCGUAAAGCGCGCGCAGGCGGUCCUUUAAGUCUGAUGUGAAAGCCCACGGCUCAACCGUGGAGGGUCAUUGGAAACUGGGGGACUUGAGUACAGAAGAGAAGAGUGGAAUUCCACGUGUAGCGGUGAAAUGCGUAGAGAUGUGGAGGAACACCAGUGGCGAAGGCGACUCUCUGGUCUGUAACUGACGCUGAGGCGCGAAAGCGUGGGGAGCAAACAGG